AACGAACGCUGGCGGCGCGCCUAAUACAUGCAAGUCGAGCGAGAAGGUGUAGCAAUACACUUGUAAAGCGGCGAACGGGUGAGGAAUACAUGGGUAAUCUACCAUCGAGUGGGGAAUAACCAACCGAAAGGUUGGCUAAUACCGCGUACGCCUCCGGAUCUUCGGGUUCGGAGGGAAAGCUGCACUGUGAGUGUAGCGCUCUUUGAUGAGCUCAUGUCCUAUCAGCUUGUUGGUAGGGUAACGGCCUACCAAGGCUUUGACGGGUAGCUGGUCUGAGAGGACGAUCAGCCACACUGGCACUGCGACACGGGCCAGACUCCUACGGGAGGCAGCAGUAGGGAAUAUUGGGCAAUGGACGGAAGUCUGACCCAGCCACGCCGCGUGCAGGAGGAAGGCGCUCUGCGUUGUAAACUGCUUUAGCAGGGGAAGAAAAGACUCAUGCGUGAGGAAUUGACGGUACCCUGAGAAUAAGCACCGGCUAACU
Molecule: ribosomal RNA, 484 nt
Filed under: uncultured bacterium
Lineage: Bacteria
Description: bacterial SSU rRNA
Rfam family: Bacterial small subunit ribosomal RNA
Source: RNAcentral